UUUUAACAUAAACACCGCCCGUCAUGUGUAUUGGGUAUAGCUAAUCCGAUCACAAAUACACCUAAAUAGAUCCAUGAAUAUUUAAACAUCAACAAUGCACUGAUUUCAUAUGUUAGUGAUUAAUUUGAACAGUAGGUUGAGGCGUGUCGGACUAUAGAUAUUGGUUUGCUCCUUCAUCUUCCAUCAGUUGGAAAGGUAUUUUGCGAGAAGACGGUAGAAAAUGGUAGAUUUAAGACAACUUUUCAUGGGCAUGUUUUAAUGCAAGGAGAGAAAAAGAAGAACUAUUAUUCCAAUGUAGAAAGGAGCCAUGAGAAGAGAUAAUGUGAUAGGGAGUGUUAAAACCAUUCAAUUAAUGGAUACACUACCGAAAACUACCAAACAGCAUACCAGUAAGCAUAUAACGGGAACAACAUUAAAACCUAAACUGAAAGACAAUGGAGUUGUGAGUCGUCCUAGACGAUAUAGUGUUGAUAUCGUAAGCUCAAAGCCUAUUGUAAAUCACAACAAUAAAAAUGGGCAUGAAGGUGCAAGCGACAGACGUUUUACUCAGAGGCGAUUUUCUCUGUGUACUACUAAACUUGAAAGUGACAAGGCAAAGGAAAAUUAUACUUCAAAUAAACAAUCCGAAGUGAGAUCUAUAUUGAAAUCUGGAGUAAGUUCAGUGUGUAGUUCUUCUGUUCAUUCAUCAGAAACGGAAUCAUCAGUAUCGGAAGAGAAACAAUCAUCUGAUGUAAAGUGUUCAUAUAGAUUACCGAAAAGUUCGGGCACAGGAAAACUAAGGAAGUGUGUGUCAUUUAGGGAAGAUGAGAUUAAUGCUGAAAGUAGAACACGAAGUUUUUCCUCGCCUUCUAUGGAUAUGUCUGCAAAUUUCUUGUUAUCCCCAUCACCAGUUUAAGAGUAAUUGUUUUAAUGCAAUUUUAACAUGUUAUGUUUUUAAAAUUCGAAUAUUGGAUUAUACACUACUCGACAGUCAAACCCUCCCUUUUUUUUUAAACUUUUUUACAGAUACCGUUGAACGUUCAUUAUACGAUUACAAAUUAGCAAAUCUAGCUCUAUUUCAUGUCGUUAAUUACAAACCAAAUAAACUCAUUUGAACUUUCCUUUAGUACGAGAAACCAAGAUUACAGGAUAGCUAAUUUACUUUCAAGUGUACAAAAUGUAUAUCUAAACUCGGUGUACUGUUGUAGAUUUCUUUUUUUUCUUUUUAAAUUCAGCCUAGAUCAGAAAGUUCUUACCAAUAAAUGAAGAUUACUUCUUUCCAGCCAAAGGCUUUCUGCAUCAUGUUAUUAAAUUGAUAAUUAUCUAUUGAAUAUCGUUAUUUAAAUUCAAGCUAUACCAAGUCAAUAUAGCAUCAUACAGCUAUUGUAAUGAUCGAAUUUUACCCAUGCCAUGCAAAUCACCAACUUUAAAAAGUACCGGAAGCAUUUUGGAAAUAUUUAAGGGUGGGUGACCAGUGUUAUUGUUGUCAAUCGUCACUGUUGUUCGUUUCAAAAAUUUCUUAGCAAAAUUUACAAAAUGGGGGGUUUUCGAUUCCUAUAUAUAUUAUAUUAAUAUAUAUGUAUUAAAAGAGUGUUAUAAGUGCUAAGAUGGGACAAGAAAAGGACAACUAGCUCGUGGCAAGAUUCUAAAAUACAGUUUGAUGAUAUAUAUGAAAAGGAGAUAACUAAAAUGGAAUAUUUUUACUUUAAGAAUGAGCAUUAAUAUUGGUCCAUAUUUUUUUGGGUAAACUUGAAUCCAAUAUUCGCCAUUUUGAACUAAAGACUAAAAAUAAGACAAAAAGUCGUUGCCGAUUAUUUACUUUGGUAGUUCUACAUGUGGAUUCACCCUUAUUCAUCUUUAUUGAUCCUGUUAGAUAUUUCUCGUGUAAGUUAAAAUUUUACAUUUCAAAUAUUUAUUAUGUACACUGCGAAUCAUUUUUUAAAAACAUUACUGUGUUCUGUUUAAGCGAGUUGGUGCCUUCAUGGUUUUGGUUACUGUAUCAUUAAUGUUUACCUAAUUAUUCUCGUUUUGUUUAUUUAUAUUAUUACAGAAAUAAAAGAAAUGUUGAAGUUGUGAUCAUGGAGCGAGCGUAUGAGCUGUGUAUUAUAUGAUUAAAUGGGAGUAUGCUUACAAAGUCUGCAUGUUCUCAAUUUACUGAGCUAGUGCAUUAUUUUACCAGACAUGCCAAUUUUAUUUAUUUUGUAUAAAAGAAUUAAAGUGCUUACUAUGU
Molecule: long non-coding RNA, 2209 nt
Organism: Mytilus californianus (California mussel)
Lineage: Eukaryota; Metazoa; Mollusca; Bivalvia; Mytilida; Mytilidae
Exons: 2
Source: RefSeq, a predicted model, not a curated record